RNAcentral lists this long non-coding RNA (297 nucleotides) under Elaeis guineensis (African oil palm). Its description in RNAcentral is "long non-coding RNA (EGUI_LNC012343)". The record is from RNAcentral. Lineage: Eukaryota; Viridiplantae; Streptophyta; Magnoliopsida; Arecales; Arecaceae.
UGGGGUGCUCUUCAUGAUGUAUAGGAGUGCCACUAUGAGGUCCCAUGAAGAAGAAAGCGAAAAGAAAAAACUUAUUUUUUUGUAAAAUCCUAGAUCUUGAAACCCUAGGUGCUGUUGUAUGUGAUGCAAGUUGCGAAGAAACUAGUUACAUCUAAUUUUGAUUAAUUAAAAUUAUUUUGAUUUAAAAUCAUAAAAAAAUUAGAUUUGAUCUAAGAGAUUUUAUGAUUUGAUGUAAAAAUUUUACAUAAAAAAUUAUUUUUCAAAUCUUAACCAUGUUGAUGCAAAACUUAAUUAAGA